RNAcentral lists this ribosomal RNA (387 nucleotides) under Lacticaseibacillus casei. Its description in RNAcentral is "bacterial SSU rRNA". It matches the Rfam family "Bacterial small subunit ribosomal RNA", at positions 100 to 473 of the family's 1533-position model. The record is from RNAcentral. Lineage: Bacteria; Bacillati; Bacillota; Bacilli; Lactobacillales; Lactobacillaceae.
GGACGGGUGAGUAACACGUGGGUAACCUGCCCUUAAGUGGGGGAUAACAUUUGGAAACAGAUGCUAAUACCGCAUAGAUCCAAGAACCGCAUGGUUCUUGGCUGAAAGAUGGCGUAAGCUAUCGCUUUUGGAUGGACCCGCGGCGUAUUAGCUAGUUGGUGAGGUAAUGGCUCACCAAGGCGAUGAUACGUAGCCGAACUGAGAGGUUGAUCGGCCACAUUGGGACUGAGACACGGCCCAAACUCCUACGGGAGGCAGCAGUAGGGAAUCUUCCACAAUGGACGCAAGUCUGAUGGAGCAACGCCGCGUGAGUGAAGAAGGCUUUCGGGUCGUAAAACUCUGUUGUUGGAGAAGAAUGGUCGGCAGAGUAACUGUUGUCGGCGUGAC